Molecule: ribosomal RNA, 701 nt
Filed under: Micractinium sp. HSD-2-1
Lineage: Eukaryota; Viridiplantae; Chlorophyta; Trebouxiophyceae; Chlorellales; Chlorellaceae
Description: eukaryotic LSU rRNA
Rfam family: 5.8S ribosomal RNA (bases 264-417)
Source: RNAcentral
CAUGAAUGAUCGAUCACCCUGGUACCAUUUGUCCCCCCCGUGUGGCUGGGCCUGCCUUUGGGCGGCCCCCGCCGGGCGUCGGUCCCCUGGCUGGGGCUUACGAGCCGCAGUUUCAGGUCCGGCGGGCGUCUCUCCGGCGUUGGGCUUUGCCCUCGCCGGCUGGUGACGCUGGUAAUUUGUAUCCAACUCAAUCCACCCCAAACACAAAACCAAUCUGAAGCAAACAGCGGUGGCGGCCUGUCCGCUCCGCACAAACCAAAGACAACUCUCAACAACGGAUAUCUUGGCUCCCGUAUCGAUGAAGAACGCAGCGAAAUGCGAUACGUAGUGUGAAUUGCAGAAUUCCGUGAACCAUCGAAUCUUUGAACGCAAAUUGCGCCCGAGGCUUCGGCCGAGGGCAUGUCUGCCUCAGCGUCGGCUUACACCCUCGCCCCCCUCUCCUUGAGGGAGUGCGGACCUGGCCUUCCCGGCUCCGUUGCCUUUCGUAGGCUGCGUCCGGGUCGGCUGAAGUGUAGAGGCUUGAGCAUGGACCCCGUUUGCAGGGCAAUGGCUUGGUAGGUAGCACCCGCUACGCAGCCUGCCGUGGCCCGAGGGGACUUUGCUGGCGGCCUAGCAGGAAUUCGGUGGUGGUUUCGGCCCCCCGAACGCUCUCACUUUCGACCUGAGCUCAGGCAAGACUACCCGCUGAACUUAAGCAUAUU